GGACUGUGUGAAGAAGUGUUGGGCAUGAGCCUGCAUGAAACAGAGUGGUACAGAUAUUGGUGGGAGUAGCAAAUAUCC
RNAcentral lists this ribosomal RNA (78 nucleotides) under Tripos fusus. Its description in RNAcentral is "partial Eukaryotic large subunit ribosomal RNA". Lineage: Eukaryota; Dinophyceae; Gonyaulacales; Ceratiaceae. The record is from RNAcentral.